RNAcentral lists this ribosomal RNA (410 nucleotides) under uncultured bacterium. Its description in RNAcentral is "bacterial SSU rRNA". It matches the Rfam family "Bacterial small subunit ribosomal RNA", at positions 505 to 916 of the family's 1533-position model. The record is from RNAcentral.
GUGGCAGCCGCCGCGGUAAUACGGAGGGUGCAAGCGUUAUCCGGAUUCGUUGGGUUUAAAAGGGUGCGCAGGCGGAUACUUAAGUCAGUGGUGAAAUCCCGGGGCUCAACCCCGGAACUGCCAUUGAUACUGAAUAUCUGGAAUACGGUUGAAGUGGGCGGAAUGUAGCAUGUAGCGGUGAAAUGCAUAGAGAUGCUACAGAACACCGAUCGCGAAGGCAGCUCACUAAGCCGAUAUUGACGCUCAGGCACGAAAGCGUGGGGAGCGAACAGGAUUAGAUACCCUGGUAGUCCACGCCGUAAACGAUGAUAACUCGUUGUUGGCGACACACAGUCAGCGACUAAGCGAAAGCGAUAAGUUAUCCACCUGGGGAGUACGAUCGCAAGGUUGAAACUUAAAGGAAUUGACGG